AUCACAGGCUAUAUGCACUGCCUCCCGGCUUAGCAGGGAGCACGGGCGUGCCCACAAACGCGCAUGCCCCGCAACCAACGGAAGAUGAGAUGGGAGGGGGCGGGAUUUUGAAGCCGGCCUCUCGAGUCUCGAGGCGGCUCUUGUGGGCGGGCUCGCACGCGCUCGCGAGAUUUAGGGGCGGAGCGGAGGAGCAGGGUUGGAGGAGACACUCGGAGGGGGCCCCACUGGAGGAAAGUAGGGGUCGCUCGGGGUGAGGAGGAGGAGGUGGAAGCAGCGGCGGCGGCUAGGAGGCGGAAGUGAGUCCAGCUGCCCCGGCAGAGGAGGCUGUGCUUGCGCGGAGACAGCUCCGGCCCCGGCUCCGGCGUUGUGAGGGAGCCCGCGCCCUCCCCUGGUUCCCCCAGCGGCGGCGGCCAUGGCGAAAAGCAGGGUCGGGCAGCCGGCUGAGGAGGCGGCUGCGGGGCCGCUGGACCCCUCGAGCCAGGCCCUCGGAGACUCCCUGAAAGGUCACUCUGCUAAGCACUGGGUUACAAAGGAAAAGAAGACAAAAAUCAAUACAGCCCCAGCUCUUAACUUGCGCUUGGUCUAAUGGGUGAGUCCACAUGGAAACAAGAUAGAAGAGAAUCCAAGGAUCUCAAUGUAGUUUGAUGCUUUAUUAGCUAUGUGGGCCACUUUGUGUAAUAGUAAACCUAGAGGAGAGGCACUAAAUUUAAGGAGGAUGGGAAAAACCUUCUUCCAAACCAGUUUUGUUUUUUGUCUUUGAAACACCUUCGCUGUGGGGCAGUAAGGUGGCUCAGUGGAUAGAGAUAAGAGAUGUCUUGAGUUGAAAUGUGGCCUCACACUUCCUAGCAGUGUGGCAUUUGAGGAAGUCACUUAAUCCCCUUCUAGUCUUUCUUACUCUUCUGCCUUGGAGCCAAUAUUUAACAAUUCUUAUCCUCCCUCCCCCCUCCCCCCCAUUAAAACCUUCUAUCAUAGAAUCAAUACUAAGAAUAGGUUCCAAGGCAGAAGAGCCAAGGGUCACCUAGCCAGGAAGUGUCUGAGGUUAUAUUUGAACCUAGGACCUCCUUUCUCUAGGUGUGGCUCUCUAUCUAGUGAGCCACUUAGCCAUCCCAAUACUUAUAAAUUCUAAGUUAAAUGAUAAGGGUUUAAAAAUAUAGAAAACACAGGGCCUGGCCCACAGCAGUUGGUUAAUCAAAUCAGCUGGCAUAGUUAAGGGUCUGCUUUGGACCUAUGUGAAGCAGUGGGGGUUCAAAGAAAGGCAAAAACCAUCCAUCCAGCCCAAACCAACAACCCUUGGUCCUCCUUGCUUUCAGGAGCUCACAGUCUGUGAACAAAUGAAAAUCUGAUUUCAGAUAUGAGUUUGGCUUUCCUAAUCAUUAACAUUUUCCAGCCUCCGAAGUUUUUAUGACCAAACUGUUUGGUAAUCUGCAUAAGAAACUAAUUUUAUUUUGCUUAAUUGCCUUUUCUGCAACUUAAGCCUAUUUAGGAAUUGUUGGUCUUAUACACAAGAUACCUUAAGUUCACAAUGUUAAAACUAUUAUUGUCCAGGUUUUUUUGUUUCUAAAC
This 1563-nucleotide long non-coding RNA is filed under the name Monodelphis domestica (gray short-tailed opossum). RNAcentral's name for it is "lncRNA (ENSMODG00000042262.1)". Lineage: Eukaryota; Metazoa; Chordata; Mammalia; Didelphimorphia; Didelphidae. The record is from RNAcentral.